AUGAAUUGCCUAAGUUGGAACUGUCGGGGCGCGGCCAACAAACCGACAGUUCAGGAGUUGGUGGGACUUGCGAGGACUGCCAGUGCACAUUUGGUCUUUUUGUGUGAAACUAGAGUUAAAGCUGAAAAAGUACGUCGUUUAAGAGGUAGACUGGGUCUGAGAGGUUUUGCAUGAUGUGAUAGUAAUGGUUUGAGUGGGGGACUAGCCCUCUUUUGGAGUGAUCAAAUAUUUGUUGAUGUUCAAGAAGUAAAUGAAAGAUAUAUAGAUGCGUACGUCCGUGUGUCUGAUAAUGAUCCACUUUGGCAUUUGACCCGUGUGUAUGGUGAGCCAAGGGUGGAAAACCGUCACUUGAUGUGGGAAAAAUUGCAAAACUUAAAAACAAAGUCUCCAUUACCGUGGUGUGUGAUUGGCGACUUCAAUGAAGCCAUGUGGUCUUUCGAACACCUUUCAGUUUCACAACGUGGAGAAAGACAGAUGCUGGCCUUCAGAGAUACUUGGAGAUACGUGAGUUGUCAGAUUUGGGUUUUUCGGGUGUGCCUUUUACCUAUGACAAUAAGCAAGCUGGACGUCAAAAUGUUAAAGUCCGCCUUGACCGGGCUGUGGCAGACAACCGGUGGCGGGACAUCUUCUCGGAGGCAUAAGUUGUACACAGUGUCAGUCCUUGCUCGGACCACUGUCCAGUGGUGUUAA
This 690-nucleotide ribosomal RNA is filed under the name Triticum aestivum (bread wheat). RNAcentral describes it as "partial small subunit ribosomal RNA". Lineage: Eukaryota; Viridiplantae; Streptophyta; Magnoliopsida; Poales; Poaceae. The record is from RNAcentral.